RNAcentral lists this ribosomal RNA (3001 nucleotides) under Ziziphus jujuba (common jujube). RNAcentral's name for it is "bacterial LSU rRNA". The stretch from base 706 to 3001 matches the Rfam family "Bacterial large subunit ribosomal RNA". The record is from RNAcentral. Lineage: Eukaryota; Viridiplantae; Streptophyta; Magnoliopsida; Rosales; Rhamnaceae.
AUCUAACUUUCUAUUCACUCGCGAGAUUCAAACGUCUAGGAGGGACAACCAUGGCUCCUCUCUUCUCUAGAAUCCAUACAUCCCUUAUCAAUAUAUGGACAGUUAUCUCUCGAGCACAGGUUUAGGCUCGGCCACAAUGGGAAAAUAAAACGGAGCACCUAACAAUGUAUCUUCAUAGACCAAGAACUACGAGAUUGCCCCUUUCAUUAUGGGGUGACAAAUGGAUCCUACCAUUCGAGCCUUUUUUUCAUGCUUUUCCUGGUGGUCUAGAGAAAGCUGCAAUCAAUAGGAUUUUCCAAAUCCUCCCUUCUCGAAAGGAAGAACAUGAAUUUUUUUUUCCUUUCCAUAGGGACCAGGAGAUUGGAUAUAGGCGUAAGAAGAAUGCUUGGCCAAUAAAUAAUUCACUUUUUGGUCUUCGACCACCUCAAUCACUAUGAAUGCCCCCCAUCAGUGCAAUGGGAUGUGUCUAUUUAUUUAUCUCUUGACUCAAAAUGGGAGCAAGUUUGUAUUUAUUUAUCUAUUGACUCAAAAUGGGAGCAAGUUUGAAAAAGGAUCUUAGAGUGUCUAGGGUUGGGCCAGGAGGGUCUCUUAACGCCUUCUUUUUUCUUCUCAUAAUAGUUAUUUCAGAAUGACUUGCCAUGGUAAGGAAAAAGCAAGGAACAAGCAUACUUGGAUAGCGUAGUACAAUAGAGAGUUGUAUACUGCGUUCAAGAAGGAUGAAUCACUUCCCAAAAGGAAUCUAUUGAUUCUAUUCCAAUUGGUUUAACCAUAGGUGUGAUGAUUUACUUCAUGGGUGAGGUCUCUGGUUCAAGUCCAGAGCUAGCUGGUUCUCCCCGAAAUGCUUUGAGGCUCAGCAAUGAACUGGACAUCUAGGGGUAAAGCACUGUUUCGGUGCGGCCGAGAGCGAUACCAAAUCGGGGCAAACUUUGAAUACUAUAUAUGACCUCAAAAUAAUAGGAGUUAAGGUUGGCCAGUGAGAUGAUGGGGGAUAAGCUUUAUCAUCGAGAAAGAAACAGCCUGAAUCACCAGCUAAGGUCCGUAAAUGACCGCUCAGUGAUAAAGGAGGUAGGGGUGCAGAGACAGCCAGGAGGUUUGCCUAGAAACAGCCACCCUUGAAAGGGUGCAUAAUAGCUCACUGAUCGAGUGCUCUUGCAUAGAAGAUGAAUAGGGCUAAGCAAUCUGCCAAGGCUGUGGGGUGUAAAAAUGCAUCGGUAGGGGAGUUUUCCACCUAGAGGGAAGCACCCGUGCAAGCAGUAGUAGACGAAGCAGAAGCAAGAAUCUCAGUUUGAGUAACACAAACAUUGGUGAGAAUCCAAUGCCCCAAAAACCUAAGGGUUCCUUCGCAAGGUUCUUCUACGGAGGGUGAGUUGGGGCCUAAGAUUAGGCCAGAAGGCAUAUUCGAUGGACAACAGGUGAAUAUUUCUGUACUACCCCUUGUUGGUCAUAAGGGAUACCUAGUCGAAAGAUGGUUAUCAGUUCAAGGACGUAAGGUGCCCCUACUUUUUUAGGGUAAAAAAGGGUAGAGAAAAUGCCCCAAGUCAAUGUUCGAGUACCAGGCACUACAGUGCUGAAGUAACCCAUGCCAUACUCCCAGGAAAAGCUCAAACGACCUUCAACAAAAGGGUACCUAUACCUAAAACCGACACAGGGUGGGUAGGUAGAGACUACCUAGGGGCGCGAGACAAUUUUCUCUAAGGAACUCAGCAAAAUAGCCCUGUAACUUUGGGAGAAAGGGUGCCUCCUUGCAAAGGAGAUCACAAUGACCAAGCCCAGACAACUGUUUACCAAAAACAUAGGUCUUCGCAAAGUCGCAAGACAAUGUAUGGGGGCUGACGCCUGCCCAGUGCUUGAAGCUCAAGGAAGUUGGUGACCUGAUAACAGGGGAGCCGACGACUAAAGCCCCGAUGAAAAGUGGCAGUAACUAUAACGGUCUUAAGGUAGUGAAAUUCCUUGUCAGGUAAGUUCCGACCCACACGAAAGGCGUAAUUAUCUGGGCACUAUCUUAGAAAGAGGCUUGGUGAAAUAGACAUGUCUGUGAAGUUGUGGACUACCUGUACCUAGACAAAAAGACCCCAUGAAGCUUCACUAUUCCCUGGGAUUGGCUUUGGGCCUUUCCUGUGCAGUUUAGGUUGAGGGCGAAGAAGGCCUCCUUCUGGGGGGGCCCGAGCUAUCAAUGAGAUACCACUCUGGAAGAGCUAGAAUUCUAACCUUAUGUCAAGACCUAUGGGCCAAGGGACAGUCUCAGGUAGACAGUUUCUAUGGGGCAUAGGCUUCCCAAAAGGUAACGGAGGCAUGCAAAGGUUUCCUUGGGCCACAUGGAGAUUGGCCCUCGAGUGCAAAGGCAGAAAGGAGCUUGACUACAAGACCUACCCGUCGAGCAUGGAUGAAAGUCAGCUUUAGUGAUCCGACAGUACGAGUGGAAGGGCCGUCGCUCAACGGAUAAAAGUUACUCUAAGGAUAACAAGCUGAUAUUCCCCAAGAGCUCACAUCAAUGGGAAAGUUUGGCUCCUCGAUGUCGGCUCUUUGUCACAUGGGGCUGUAGUAUGUUCAAAGGGUUGGUCUAUUAUCCCAUUAAAGCAAUACGUGAGCUAGGUUCAGAACGUCAUGAGACAGUUUGGUCCAUAUCUGGUGUGGGCGUUAGAGCAUUAAAAGGACCUUCCCUUAGUACGAGAGGACCGAGAAGGAUGCACCUCUAGUGUACCAGCUAUCAUGCCCACAGUAAACACUGGGUAGCCAAGUGCGGAGCAAAUAACUGCUGAAAGCAUCUAAGUAGUAAGCCCACCCCAAGAUGAGUGCUUUCCUAUUGUGACUUCCCAGAGCUCCCGGUAGCAUAGCCAAGACAACAAUGAGUUUUCUGCCCCGUGGGGGUGGAGCAACAGAAGUUUUGAGAAUUUAAGAGAAGGCCAUGGCGAGACGAGCCGUUUAUCAAUACGAUAAGUGUCAAAUGGAAGUGUAGUGAUGUAUGGAGCUGGGGCAUCGUAACAAACCGGUAGACUUAAAC